This 459-nucleotide ribosomal RNA is filed under the name uncultured bacterium. RNAcentral's name for it is "bacterial SSU rRNA". It matches the Rfam family "Bacterial small subunit ribosomal RNA", at positions 29 to 534 of the family's 1533-position model. The record is from RNAcentral.
AACGAACGCUGGCGGCAUGCCUAACACAUGCAAGUCGAACGAGACCUUCGGGUCUAGUGGCGCACGGGUGCGUAACACGUGGGAAUUUGCCUCGGGGUAUGGAAUAACUCAGGGAAACUUGAGCUAAUACCAUAUAAUGUCUUCGGACCAAAGAUUUAUCGCCCUGAGAUAAGCCCGCGUAGGAUUAGCUAGUUGGUGGGGUAAAGGCUCACCAAGGCGACGAUCCUUAGCUGGUCUGAGAGGAUGAUCAGCCACACUGGGACUGAGACACGGCCCAGACUCCUACGGGAGGCAGCAGUGGGGAAUAUUGGACAAUGGGCGAAAGCCUGAUCCAGCAAUGCCGCGUGAGUGAUGAAGGCCUUAGGGUUGUAAAGCUCUUUACCCGGGAUGAUAAUGACAGUACCGGGAGAAUAAGCUCCGGCUAACUCCGUGCCAGCAGCCGCGGUAAAGUGACUACUG